UGACGAUUAGGUCAGUCGGAAGAGUACUCGCCCUGACAGCGAGGUGCCACGGGUUGGAGUCCCGGACUGGCAG
RNAcentral lists this transfer RNA (73 nucleotides) under Dreissena polymorpha. RNAcentral describes it as "tRNA-Ser". The record is from RNAcentral. Lineage: Eukaryota; Metazoa; Mollusca; Bivalvia; Myida; Dreissenidae.